UAAUUACUCGAUACCUGUGUACUAAAGCUGAUUCAAAGGGGUUGUGUUAAAUGCGGAAGACACAUUUCAAUUUAAUGAAUGCAUUCAGUUGUGCAAGGUAUACUCCUUUCCUUUGCUAUUAACCAUUGCAGGCCUAACUUUUGUUUACUACACAAGUGGGCACAAGUUUAUUAUCCUUAACAAAACGUGUGUCUCUGUGUGCCAAGAAUUCUCAAAUCCACACUGCUCAAUGAAGUUGAGUGGCAAGGCGUUUAGUUAGAUUAGAUUCGUUUUGGCGGAGUGUAGUUAGCCUCCCAGCUAGCGCAGUGGAUCUGGACCGAUUCCGGCUGAGAGUCCGGGCACCCGGCUGAGAGUCAGGCUCGGCCGACGUCAUGUGGCCCGAAUCUGGGCCACUUUAGGCAUAUUACGUAUGGCUAAAAUGCGGGGAUUGAGCUCCGGCUGAUUCCGGUGAGAGUUAUCUGGCCCAAAUAUAUUACGUGGGGCUCGGGCAGAUUGAGGCUACUCUAUGGCAGAUGAUUACACCGGCUGCUUUAUAUAAUUAACAUUUCAUUCUUUAUUUUUUCCAUAUUUUCUCAUUGUUUCUGUGAUCAAAAUAUACAAUUAACAAUUAAAUUAUUUAAGAUUCCUGUUUAAGUAGUAUAGUAUUUUGAUACUUUGUGAAUGGAGCCUCCAGAGUGGUGCAGCGGUCUAAGACGCUGCAUCAAUGCAUUCGGAAGAGGGCCGCUUCAGGGCCAAUUCCUCAUUGCUAGCUGGGCUACCAAUGACUACAUUGAGACGUUAUUAUUCAAUGCUUGUAAAAAUGCCCAUAAAUGUUUUUUGUAAGAUUUUAUAAGCAAUACAAAACAAAUGACAACAUCAUACAUCAACUAUCACACCUGCCCAAACCCACUAGCACACACCACACAUCUCCAGCCCCCACAUCACUUUCCGCCACAUGGCCUGAAACUGCACCAUUUUGUUUCACUCCAUAGCCCACGCACUUUCAAUAUUUCAAAACUAAAUCAUAAGAUUUUUCCAUUGUGUUAAUGAUGGUGGGUUGAUUGAUUUCUACGGUUUUAGUAUACAUUUUUUCAAGAAGAGAAUCGUCCAGCCCAUUGGGUAUCUCACUACACCCCCAUAGGCCAUGUCUUGAAAUAUGCAGACAGUAAGUUUACAUAGUAAUACUUCUGACAACCAACUUUCUAGCUCCGUCUACAACAUCCAGAUUUGAUUUACUAAUUUUCAACAGAAAUAUGGGUGUGGUCUGUUUAGGUUUUUUAUGGGGGAUUUAAGCACUUCCGGCCAAUAGUUCGCAGCUAGCUAGCUCACUAUUUAUUUAUUUGUAUUUUACUUCACCUUUAUUUAACCAGGUAGGCUAGUUGAGAACAAGUUCUCAUUUGCAACUGCGACCUGGCCAAGAUAAAGCAAAUCGCUAUCGCUUCUCACAACUUCCCAAACAUGGAUUCAUGCACAACUGGCAUUUUAUGUUCGGUAAGGGGAUUCCACAAUAACUGGCAUAAAUGGAAGCUGUUCAUGGAGGAGUGUUUUGACCACAAUUUUUUUGGGAGUGAGUGCAGUUGUUAGGUGCCUUUUGAUUUGCACCCACCUCCUAAGGAGGAUGAGUCUCUUUGGCUUUGGCUCAAAGCAUUGAACUUGAAGAAACCACCAAACUGACCCAACGUCUGUUCCUAUCACUUCGUGGACAAGAGGCCAACUGAAGAGCAUCCCUUCCCUGAGAAGUGGCUGGGCUAUGAUACUCUAGUACAAACCAAAAGGUGCCAUCUCAUCAGGUCAUCAACACAUACAGAUGAAGACAACUCUGGUGAUGCAGAGUCUCUGAUCUGAGUGUGCCAAUGCCACCGCAGUGUAAAGAUGCUGAUACUCAAUGGGAAGUUCCAGCACUGACUGAUCACAGCUAAGUGUCAAGAGAACCAGUCAACAAGCCCACCUGCCA
Molecule: non-coding RNA, 1933 nt
Organism: Salmo salar (Atlantic salmon)
Lineage: Eukaryota; Metazoa; Chordata; Actinopteri; Salmoniformes; Salmonidae
Source: RefSeq, a predicted model, not a curated record